RNAcentral lists this unclassified non-coding RNA (554 nucleotides) under Hevea brasiliensis (rubber tree). Lineage: Eukaryota; Viridiplantae; Streptophyta; Magnoliopsida; Malpighiales; Euphorbiaceae. The record is from RNAcentral.
AGGUAAGUUGCCAUUAUAAAAUCAUGCUCUACCACAAAUGCAGUUUUCUUUGCGUGAAGAAUAAACCUCUUUAUGACUUUUGAAGCAACAAUACGCUGCUCAGAAUCUAGAUAAGCACUUGGUUCAUCUAUUAGAUAAAUGUCAGCAGGCUUUCCAAGGCAGAGGCACAAAGCAACUCUUUGCAACUCCCCACCAGACAGAUUCACUACUUCUUGAUCCAUUAGUUGUUCUAUAAGAAGCGGUUUCAUGACAUCUGACACAAACUGAGGAUGUGUAUAAGAAUCACGAAUUUUUUGAUGUAGCAAGUGUCUAACAGUAGAUUGGAACUUAGGACUGAUCUUCUGGGGCUUGUAAGAAACAUUAAACUCAGGUAUCUCCACAUCGGAAUCUUCGACGCUAUCAGGUUUUAAUAAGCCAGCCAGCAUACGAAUAAAUGUUGUCUUCCCUGUUCCAUUCUCACCCAACAUAACAAUUAUCUGAGAAUCUGUAAAUUCACCCUCAAUCACACGAAGCUUGAAGUUGCCCUGAGUUUUAGUCAUGGUUGGAUAUUUGUA